UACGGGGGGGGCAAGCGUUGUUCGGAAUUACUGGGCGUAAAGGGCUCGUAGGCGGCCAACUAAGUCCGACGUGAAAUCCCCAGGCUUAACCUGGGAACUGCGUCGGAUACUGGUUGGCUUGAAUCCGGGAGAGGGAUGCGGAAUUCCAGGUGUAGCGGUGAAAUGCGUAGAUAUCUGGAGGAACACCGGUGGCGAAGGCGGCGUUCUGGACUGUAACUGACACUGAGAAACGAAAGCCAGGGUAGCAAACGGG
RNAcentral lists this ribosomal RNA (253 nucleotides) under uncultured bacterium. Its description in RNAcentral is "partial 16S ribosomal RNA". It matches the Rfam family "Bacterial small subunit ribosomal RNA", at positions 524 to 776 of the family's 1533-position model. The record is from RNAcentral.